This is a non-coding RNA of Dallia pectoralis (Alaska blackfish), 74 nucleotides long. NCBI's taxonomy places the organism in Eukaryota, Metazoa, Chordata, Actinopteri, Esociformes, Umbridae. The record is from the annotation of a GenBank genome assembly.
GGAGAUGGUAGCUCAGUGGUAAAGUGCAUGCUUUGUAUGUGUGAACGUCCAGGGUUCAAUCCCCAUUUUCUCCC